RNAcentral lists this ribosomal RNA (499 nucleotides) under uncultured bacterium. RNAcentral's name for it is "partial 16S ribosomal RNA". It matches the Rfam family "Bacterial small subunit ribosomal RNA", at positions 28 to 507 of the family's 1533-position model. The record is from RNAcentral.
GACGAACGCUGGCGGCGUGCCUAAUACAUGCAAGUCGAGCGGACUGAAUGGGAGCUUGCUCUUUUUCGGUCAGCGGCGGACGGGUGAGUAACACGUGGGCAACCUGCCCGCAAGACCGGGAUAACUCCGGGAAACCGGAGCUAAUACCGGAUAACACCGAAGACCGCAUGGUCGUUGGUUGAAAGGCGGCGCAAGCUGCCACUUGCGGAUGUGCCCGCGGCGCAUUAGCUGGUUGGUGAGGUAACGGCUCACCAAGGCGACGAUGCGUAGCAGGACGGAGGGGGUGGGCGGCCAGCCUGGGAGUGAGACACGCCACAGAGGCCCACGGGAGCGAGCCAGAGGGCAACGUCCGCAAGCGGUGAGAGACAGACGGAGAGGGGCGGAGGCAGCGAAGAAGGACGUCGGGUCGUGAAGCUCUGCUGUGAGGGAGGAAGGAGCGCCCGUUGAAGAAGGAGCCGGGGUGACGGUAACUGACGAGGAAGCCCCGGCUAACUACGUG